AUAAAUUUCAGACGAAAGACCUUGGUAAACUCCUAUAUUUUUUGGGUAUUGAGGUAGUCCAAUCUAAAGAUGAUAUGGUAAUUUCUCCGGAGAAAUAUGCUAUGGAUACUUUUGAAGAAACAAGUUUGUAGAAUGCUAAACCAGUUAAUACUCUUAUGGAUCCAAGUGUUAAAAUUCUACCAAAUUAGGGGGAGCUUCUAUAUGACUUAAAGAUGUAUAAGAUAUUAGUCGGAAAGUUAAAUUAUCUCACAGUGACUGUCCCAACAUUUCUUUUCUAGUAAGUGUGGUAAACUAGUUCUUAAAUUCUCCUUUCUAAGAACACAUGAACGCUAUUUUUUGGAUUCUGAGAUACAUCAAAGGGAAUAUUCCAGUUGAAAUAACAUCUAUCGAAUAAAUUUCAGACGAAAGAUCUUGGUAAACUCCUAUAUUUUUUGGGUAUUGAGGUAGUCAAAUCUAAAGAUGAUAUGGUAAUUUCUUCGGGGAAAUAUGCCAUGGAUACUUUUGAAGAAACAAGUUUGUAGAAUGCUAAACCAGUUAAUACUCUUAUGGAUCCAAGUGUUAAAAUUCUACCUAAUCAGGGGGAGCUUCUAUAUGAAUUAAGGAUGUAUAGGAUAUUAGUUGAAAAGUUAAAUUAUCUCACAGUCACACAUCCCAACAUUUCUUUUUCAAUUAGUAUGGUGAAGUAGUUCUUAAAUUCUCCUUUCUAAGAACACAUGAGCGCUAUUUUUUGGAUUCUGAGAUACAUUAAAGGUUCUCUAGGAAAAUGUCAUUUAUGAAAAUAAAGGACAUACUCAGAUAGUUGGAUAUCCUAACGCUGAUUGAAAAAACUCACCCAUUGUUAGACGAUUUAUCUCUGAGUAUUGUUUAUUUGUUGAAGGAAACCUAAUAUCCUAUAAAAGUAAGAAACAAAAUGUAGUUGCAAGAUCAAGUGCUGAGGUAGAAUAUAAGGUUAUGACACUAGUAACAUGUGAGGCCGUUUGGUUGAAUCAACUGCUCAAAGAACUUCAAUUUGAAAAAAUAAGACCAUGACACUUAUUUGUGAUAAUCAAAUUCCAUUAUGUAUUGUUUCGAAUCCAGGUUUCAUGAGAGGACCAAACAUUGUCAGAGAGAAGAUAGAAUCAAACGACAUUGUCACAAGUUUUGUCAACUCUAAUGAUCAAUUGGCAUGUGUUUACAAAAUCCCUACGAGAUCCUAAAACUAAUUAUAUAUGUGGUAAGCUUAGUGCAUUUAACUCAUAUGUUUAAAUUUGAGGGGGAGUGUUAAUAUUUGUAUAGAAAAUAUUCCAUUGAUUAUUUUUUAACCUAUCUAGAAUAUAAUAGAAUAUACCAUUGCAUAUUCCUUAUGUAAUUAAUAUAAUAUACCGUAUAAUACAAUCUUCGUAAUCUUAUUCAGACAUACUGUAUAUUCAAAUGUCCCUCAAUCUCAUAUUUCAACAAUUUGACUAUGAAAUUGUGAAGUUGUCAUGAUUUGUUGGAGGAUAUCUAAGGACGGUAUGUACGCUCUUGUCAUGAAUAGAUCAAAAUGAGUGUUGAGGUCAUCACAGGGAGAGCCAGCCGUUGAGGUUACAAAUGAAGGAGUUGAUGCUGCAGGGCAUACAAUUGGAACAUCUUUGGAGGUCGUGUUCAAACUUAGGAAGGUACCACACCUUUGCUAUGACCAUGUCAGUCUUGAGGUCUUUAGAGGUACCACACCUUUGCCGUGUCAUGCUAUGUUCAUGAGUAUGAUUAAACAGAAAGGAAAUGGUAGGAAGUUUGGUUUGCUGUGAUCGGUUCCAUGAGAUUUAGAAAGUGAUGCAGGGACGCCUUGGAUCAUGCUCAACAAGCUGCUAGAGUGUUCAAGAACAGAAGCAGCCUGCGGUCUACCCUAUUGGAAGCACCAUCCGUUCUUGAACCCAACUACGAGUGGAUGAGUGUCAUUGGCUCGAGGGCCUGCUGGAACAAUGGAAAUGGGCAAAGGGUGAAAAUGUUGGGUGACAACUGGUUCCUGGGUCAGGCUGAGUUUGAAGUGUGGAGUCCUGCCUCAACCCUAGUGAUUCGGUUGAUCGAAGAUGACGCAAACAAUGGAAAUUCUUAUGUUACUUCUUCUCAGCAACACACCGACCAAAAAACAACACCAGCUUCAACUUCAAGUAAUGAAACCAAAGGAGUUGAUGCUAAUCACCAUGCUAAAGUAUUUUAUAAACACACUUGGCCGGUGAUGAAAUUUGGGUAGAGAAUAAUAGUUGGUACCAUAAUUGGAUUUCUAGGAUCAUCAUUUGGAACUGUGGGAGGUGUUGGUGGAGGUGGCAUAUUUGUUCCCAUGCUUACUCUUAUUAUUGGAUUCGAUGCAAAAUCAGCAACAACAAUAUCAAAAUACUUGUUGGUCAAUGUCAGUUUUACUUGAUUGUCAGAGUCUUUGCAGGCAGUUACCACAACCUUGGUAUGCUCACAUCAUGAAUAUAUCAAAAUCAGUCUUAAAGUCAUUACAGGCUUCAAUGGAUCUCUACCUUCAAAGCACUAUGGAGGGUAUGUAACAAUAGAUGAAAGUCAUGGUAAGAACUUGUAUUACUAUUUUGUUCAAUCAGAAGGCGAUUCAUCAAAGGACCCUAUUGUUCUAUGGCUGAAUGGUGGACCAGGAUGUUCUAGUUUUGAUGGUUUUGUAUAUGAACAUGGUAAUAACUAUUUUUCACUAUCAUUUUCAUUUUGUAAUUGUUUCUCAAAUCAAAUAAAUGUAGAGUGAAAAUUCAUUUUAAUAUCCAAAACAAUUUUUUUGUAAUAUCUAAUCUAAUAUAUUAUAUAAACAAUGUGUUCCAUUGGUGAUGUGUUUCAGGUCCUUUUAAUUUUGACAAACCUGUCAAUGGAUCCUUGCCUAAGUUGCAUCUCAAUCCAUACAGUUGGUCCAAGUUUGGUCAUUUUUAAUAAUAAUAAUCAGAAAUUCAAUCUAUUAAAUUAGUAUUUGUAGUAUUUAAAAUAUAUGAUUUUAGUCUAAAUAUUAGACAAAACAUUUUGAAUCAUUUUUAAUGUGUUUUCUUGCAGGUUUCCAACAUUAUAUAUUUGGACUCACCCGUUGGAGUAGGAUUUUCGUAUUCGAAAAAUACAUCUCAGUACGAAACUGGAGAUGAAAAGACUGCGACUGAUUCACAUACUUUUCUCCUCAAAUGGUUUGAAUUAUAUCCUGAGUUUCUU
This is an RNA transcript of Lathyrus oleraceus (garden pea), 3165 nucleotides long. It is a transcript of the gene named serine carboxypeptidase-like 20, with no coding region annotated. The record is from RefSeq and is a predicted model, not a curated record. The transcript is spliced from 10 exons. NCBI's taxonomy places the organism in Eukaryota, Viridiplantae, Streptophyta, Magnoliopsida, Fabales, Fabaceae.